RNAcentral lists this ribosomal RNA (379 nucleotides) under uncultured eukaryote. Its description in RNAcentral is "partial 18S ribosomal RNA". It matches the Rfam family "Eukaryotic small subunit ribosomal RNA", at positions 592 to 975 of the family's 1831-position model. The record is from RNAcentral.
CAAUAGCGUAUAUUAAAGUUGUUGCGGUUAAAAAGCUCGUAGUUGGAUUUCUGUUGAGGACGGCCGGUCCGCACUAUGUGCGUGUAUCUGGUUCGGCCUUGGCAUCCUCUUGAGGAACGUAUCUGCGCUUGAUUGCGUGGAGCGGUAUUCAAGACUUUUACUUUGAGGAAAUUAGAGUGUUCACGGCAGGCAAGCGCCUUGAAUACGUUAGCAUGGAAUGAUAAUAUAGGAUCUUGGUUCUAUUUUGUUGGUUUCUAGAGCUAAGGUAAUGAUUAAUAGGGAUAAUUGGGGGCAUUUGUAUUAACGCGUCAGAGGUGGAAUUCUUGGAUUGCGUUACGACAAACUACUGCGAAAGCAUUUGCCAAGGAUGUUUUCAUUG